CCUACGGGAGACAGCAGUGAGGAAUAUUGGUCAAUGGACGAGAGUCUGAACCAGCCAAGUAGCGUGAAGGAUGACUGCCCUAUGGGUUGUAAACUUCUUUUAUAUGGGAAUAAAAUGUUCCACGUGUGGGAUUUUGUAUGUACCAUAUGAAUAAGGAUCGGCUAACUCCGUGCCAGCAGCCGCGGUAAUACGGAGGAUCCGAGCGUUAUCCGGAUUUAUUGGGUUUAAAGGGAUCGUAGGUGGAUUGUUAAGUCAGUUGUGAAAGUUUGCGGCUCAACCGUAAAAUUGCAGUUGAAACUGGCAGUCUUGAGUACAGUAGAGGUGAGCGGAAUUCGUGGUGUAGCGGUGAAAUGCUUAGAUAUCACGAAGAACUCCGAUUGCGAAGGCAGUUCACUGGACUGCAACUGACACUGAGGCUCGAAAGUGUGGGUAUCAAACAGGAUUAGAUACCCUUGUAGUC
Molecule: ribosomal RNA, 460 nt
Filed under: uncultured bacterium
Lineage: Bacteria
Description: partial 16S ribosomal RNA
Rfam family: Bacterial small subunit ribosomal RNA
Source: RNAcentral